Molecule: ribosomal RNA, 253 nt
Filed under: uncultured organism
Description: partial 16S ribosomal RNA
Rfam family: Bacterial small subunit ribosomal RNA
Source: RNAcentral
UACGUAGGGGGCAAGCGUUGUCCGGAAUGACUGGGCGUAAAGCGCGCGCAGGCGGUGCAUCACGUCUGAGGUGAAAGGUCGGGGCUCAACUUCGACAUGGCCUUGGAAACGGGAGCACUUGAGGGUCGGAGAGGUCAGGGGAAUUCCACGUGUAGCGGUGAAAUGCGUAGAGAUGUGGAGGAAUACCAGUGGCGAAGGCGCCUGACUGGACGAAACCUGACGCUGAGGCGCGAAGGCGUGGGGAGCAAACAGG